AUACGUAGGGGACGAGCGUUGUCCGGAAUUACUGGGCGUAAAGGGCGCGCAGGCGGAUAUUUAAGUCAGCUGUAAAAGGCAUGAGCUCAACUCAUGUAUGCGGUUGAAACUGGGUAUCUAGAGUGCUGGAGAGGUAGGCGGAAUUCCCGGUGUAGCGGUGCAAUGCGUAGAUAUCGGGAAGAACACCAGUGGCGAAGGCGGCUUACUGGCCAGCAACUGACGCUGAGGCGCGAAAGCCAGGGGAGCGAACGGGAUUAGAUACCCCGGUAGUCCUGGCCGUAAACGAUGAAUGCUAGGUGUGGGUGUCGAGAGGCAUCCGUGCCGGAGUUAACGCGAUAAGCAUUCCGCCUGGGGAGUACGAUCGCAAGAUUGAAACUCAAAGGAAUUGGCGGGG
This 394-nucleotide ribosomal RNA is filed under the name uncultured bacterium. Its description in RNAcentral is "partial 16S ribosomal RNA". It matches the Rfam family "Bacterial small subunit ribosomal RNA", at positions 523 to 918 of the family's 1533-position model. The record is from RNAcentral.